This 443-nucleotide ribosomal RNA is filed under the name uncultured bacterium. RNAcentral's name for it is "partial 16S ribosomal RNA". It matches the Rfam family "Bacterial small subunit ribosomal RNA", at positions 338 to 795 of the family's 1533-position model. The record is from RNAcentral.
CCUACGGGGUGCAGCAGUGGGGAAUAUUGGGCAAUGGGCGCAAGCCUGACCCAGCAACGCCGCGUGAAGGAAGCAGGCCCUCGGGUUGUAAACUUCUUUUGUCAGGGACGAAACACAUGACGGUACCUGACGAAUAAGCCACGGCUAACUACGUGCCAGCAGCCGCGGUAAUACGUAGGUGGCAAGCGUUAUCCGGAUUUACUGGGUGUAAAGGGCGUGUAGGCGGGAGAGCAAGUCAGAUGUGAAAUUCCAGGGCUCAACCCUGGAACUGCAUUGGAAACUGUUUUUCUUGAGUGAUGGAGAGGCAGGCGGAAUUCCGUGUGUAGCGGUGAAAUGCGUAGAUAUUAGGAGGAACACCGGUGGCGAAGGCGGCUUACUGGACCGUAACUGACGUUGAGGCUCGAAAGCGUGGGGAGCAAACAGGAUUAGAUACCCCUGUAGUC